ACAUAGCCCUGAUAGAAGCGGCAUCCUUUUAAAAGGACAUUUCGAGAACCUCAAUGUCCUUUUAAAAGAUAUAGCGUAUAGCAGGAAAUAGC
RNAcentral lists this small RNA (92 nucleotides) under Flavobacterium terrae. RNAcentral's name for it is "Flavo-1 RNA". It matches the Rfam family "Flavo-1 RNA". The record is from Rfam by way of RNAcentral. Lineage: Bacteria; Pseudomonadati; Bacteroidota; Flavobacteriia; Flavobacteriales; Flavobacteriaceae.